ACGCACGCUGGCGGCAGGCCUAACACAUGCAAGUCGAGCGAGGACUUCGGUUCUAGCGGCGGACGGGUGAGUAACGCGUGGGAAUGUGCCCUUCUCUACGGAAUAGCCCUGGGAAACUGGGAGUAAUACCGUAUACGCCCUAUUGGGGAAAGAUUUAUCGGAGAAGGAUCAGCCCGCGUUGGAUUAGGUAGUUGGUGGGGUAAUGGCCUACCAAGCCGACGAUCCAUAGCUGGUUUGAGAGGAUGAUCAGCCACACUGGGACUGAGACACGGCCCAGACUCCUACGGGAGGCAGCAGUGGGGAAUCUUAGACAAUGGGGGCAACCCUGAUCUAGCCAUGCCGCGUGAGUGAUGAAGGCCUUAGGGUUGUAAAGCUCUUUCAGCUGGGAAGAUAAUGACGGUACCAGCAGAAGAAGCCCCGGCUAACUCCGUG
RNAcentral lists this ribosomal RNA (432 nucleotides) under uncultured bacterium. RNAcentral's name for it is "partial 16S ribosomal RNA". It matches the Rfam family "Bacterial small subunit ribosomal RNA", at positions 29 to 507 of the family's 1533-position model. The record is from RNAcentral.